UACGGGGGGAGCAAGCGUUGUUCGGAUUUACUGGGCGUAAAGGGCGCGUAGGCGGCGCAACAAGUCACUUGUGAAAUCUCCGGGCUUAACCCGGAGCGGCCAAGUGAUACUGUCGUGCUAGAGUGCGGAAGGGGCUACUGGAAUUCUCGGUGUAGCGGUGAAAUGCGUAGAUAUCGAGAGGAACACCUGCGGCGAAGGCGGGUAGCUGGGCCAACACUGACGCUGAAGCGCGAAAGCCAGGGGAGCGAACGGG
This 253-nucleotide ribosomal RNA is filed under the name uncultured bacterium. RNAcentral describes it as "partial 16S ribosomal RNA". It matches the Rfam family "Bacterial small subunit ribosomal RNA", at positions 524 to 776 of the family's 1533-position model. The record is from RNAcentral.